RNAcentral lists this ribosomal RNA (254 nucleotides) under uncultured bacterium. RNAcentral describes it as "partial 16S ribosomal RNA". It matches the Rfam family "Bacterial small subunit ribosomal RNA", at positions 524 to 776 of the family's 1533-position model. The record is from RNAcentral.
UACGUAGGUGGCAAGCGUUAUCCGGAUUUAUUGGGUUUAAAGGGUGCGUAGGCGGCUUAAUAAGUCAGUGGUUAAAGGUAGCAGCUUAACUGUUUUACAUGCCACUGAUACUGCUAAGCUUGAGUUGACAGAAGGCAGAUAGAAUUUCUGGUGUAGCGGUGAAAUGCUUAGAUACCAGAAGGAAUACCGAUUGCGAAGGCAGUCUGCUGCAGUCACACUGACGCUGAGGCACGAAAGUGCGGGGAUCAAACAGG